UACGUAGGGUGCGAGCGUUAAUCGGAAUUACUGGCGUAAAGGGUGCGCAGGCGGUUAUAUAAGACAGAUGUGAAAUCCCCGGGCUCAACCUGGGAACUGCGUUUGUGACUGUAUGACUAGAGUACGGUAGAGAGGGGUGGAAUUCCUGGUGUAGCAGUGAAAUGCGUAGAUAUCAGGAGGAACAUCGAUGGCGAAGGCAGCCCCUUGGACCUGUACUGACGCUCAUGCACGAAAGCGUGGGGAGCAAACAGG
RNAcentral lists this ribosomal RNA (252 nucleotides) under uncultured bacterium. Its description in RNAcentral is "partial 16S ribosomal RNA". It matches the Rfam family "Bacterial small subunit ribosomal RNA", at positions 524 to 776 of the family's 1533-position model. The record is from RNAcentral.